This 379-nucleotide unclassified non-coding RNA is filed under the name uncultured Paenibacillaceae bacterium. Its description in RNAcentral is "contains 16S-23S intergenic spacer region". The record is from RNAcentral. Lineage: Bacteria; Bacillati; Bacillota; Bacilli; Caryophanales; Paenibacillaceae.
UCCGGUUUGUCACCGGCAGUCAGCUUAGAGGGCCCACCAUUACGUGCUGGCAACUAAGCUCAAGGGUUGCGCUCGUUGCGGGACUUAACCCAACAUCUCACGACACGAGCUGACGACAACCAUGCACCACCUGUCACCUUUGUCCCGAAGGAAAGCUCUAUCUCUAGAGCGGUCAAAGGGAUGUCAAGACCUGGUAAGGUUCUUCGCGUUGCUUCGAAUUAAACCACAUACUCCACUGCUUGUGCGGGUCCCCGUCAAUUCCUUUGAGUUUCAUUCUUGCGAACGUACUCCCCAGGCGGAAUGCUUAAUGUGUUAACUUCGGCACCAAGGGCAUCGAAGCCCCUAACACCUAGCAUUCAUCGUUUACGGCGUGGACUAC